Molecule: small nucleolar RNA, 107 nt
Organism: Hibiscus syriacus
Lineage: Eukaryota; Viridiplantae; Streptophyta; Magnoliopsida; Malvales; Malvaceae
Source: RefSeq, a predicted model, not a curated record
AAUCCGUGAAGGGGACAUUUGUGUAAAUGCUCCUUGUAUCGCUCCCAAGCCUUGUAUAUGGAUUCAUCAUCUGCCUACCGAAAAGAAGUUAUAUCAUUACACAAUUU